UACAGAGGUGGCAAGCGUUGUUCGGAAUUACUGGGCGUAAAGGGCGCGUAGGCGGUCUUGUAAGUCUCGUGUGAAAUCCCUCGGCUUAACUGAGGAACUGCACGGGAUACUGCAUGACUUGAGGUCGGGAGAGGGAAGCGGAAUUCCGGGUGUAGCGGUGAAAUGCGUAGAUAUCAGGAGGAACACCAAUGGCGAAGGCAGCACUCUGGGACGUGACUGACGCUGAGACGCGAAAGCGUGGGGAGCAAACAGG
RNAcentral lists this ribosomal RNA (253 nucleotides) under uncultured bacterium. Its description in RNAcentral is "partial 16S ribosomal RNA". It matches the Rfam family "Bacterial small subunit ribosomal RNA", at positions 524 to 776 of the family's 1533-position model. The record is from RNAcentral.